GGAGAGUUUUGAUCCUGGCUCAGGACGAACGCUGGCGGCGUGCCUAAUACAUGCAAGUCGAGCGGACAGAUGGGAGCUUGCUCCCUGAUGUUAGCGGCGGACGGGUGAGUAACACGUGGGUAACCUGCCUGUAAGACUGGGAUAACUCCGGGAAACCGGGGCUAAUACCGGAUGGUUGUUUGAACCGCAUGGUUCAAACAUAAAAGGUGGCUUCGGCUACCACUUACAGAUGGACCCGCGGCGCAUUAGCUAGUUGGUGAGGUAAUGGCUCACCAAGGCAACGAUGCGUAGCCGACCUGAGAGGGUG
This 307-nucleotide ribosomal RNA is filed under the name Enterococcus faecalis. RNAcentral describes it as "bacterial SSU rRNA". It matches the Rfam family "Bacterial small subunit ribosomal RNA", at positions 6 to 302 of the family's 1533-position model. The record is from RNAcentral. Lineage: Bacteria; Bacillati; Bacillota; Bacilli; Lactobacillales; Enterococcaceae.